GUGGAGAUUUUUAAGUAAAGAUAAGUCCAGGGAAACAGUCGAGUUCAGUCAAUCUUCUCUAUGAACUUAAUGCCCAGAGCUUGUAAAAUAUCCAGUGCUGCAAUACAACAAAAAAGGUACUAUCAUCUGAUAUUAUUGUUAUUAUUAUUUAAUUUUACAUGUUAUCUAUUCUGCGAUGCCAACAAAAUGGAAAACAUGUUUAGCAAGUGAAAUUUAGAAUACCUGGCACGUAUACUUCAGGUUCAAUAGGCCUUACAACACCUCUUGUCUUGAUCUUGUUCUCCAGUAAGAGCUUCGACAAAUCAAAAAGUCUUUAAGUUAAAGCAUUUUCCCAAAAGCAAUGGCGUGGAAUUAGUGAGUAUAGAACUAGUACCAGAGCACCAAUUGCUGCUGGAAGACCAACAGUGAGAGC
Molecule: long non-coding RNA, 412 nt
Filed under: Manihot esculenta (cassava)
Lineage: Eukaryota; Viridiplantae; Streptophyta; Magnoliopsida; Malpighiales; Euphorbiaceae
Description: long non-coding RNA (MESC_LNC009897)
Source: RNAcentral